This 2478-nucleotide long non-coding RNA is filed under the name Papio anubis (olive baboon). Its description in RNAcentral is "lncRNA (ENSPANG00000037190.1)". Lineage: Eukaryota; Metazoa; Chordata; Mammalia; Primates; Cercopithecidae. The record is from RNAcentral.
AUGAUGAGGCUGAGGAAGAGAAAGGUGAGAAAGAAAAAGAAAAAGAUGAUGAAGAAAAUCCCAAGAUUGAAGAUGUGGCUUCAGACGAAGAGGAUGAUAGUGGUAUGGAUAAGAAAAAGAAAACCAAGGCUGGAUGCAGUGGCUCAUGUCUGUAACCCCAGCACUUUGGGAGGUCAAGCAAGUGCUAGGCACAUAAUUAAUGUUUUCGCUGCCAAGAUGUACAGCAGCAGGUGCACGUGUUCGAGAACCUUCCAGUUCAUGGUAGACCAACUGUGAAUUCACUCCUGAUCAACACAAACCCCCACCAGACAAGUACAUGAGAGGCGGCUGGAAAGUCAAGUCCAAGGAGCUGGAAGGUCUGAUUGCUCCCGACAGCGGAGCCUCCUGUGCCUGGCUGCACACAAACCAUCCAAAAUUGACAUUUAAGAGGAUAUAAAUCCAAUGGUAAAUGUGGACAGAUAGUUUUCCUUCCUGAGUCAUUAAAACUCCCAUUGUUAAAAGCUUUGCACUCCAUGACUUAUAAUGAAAGAGGUAAAAUGAUCCAAAUUGUGAAAAAAUACUGGUGUUGUGACUGUUCUAAAACUGUUAACAUGGUUUAUGACCAGUAUUUGGCUUGUUAAACCUAUAAUUCCGAGAAGACACUUGAUACAGAUUGGCUCUGUGUCCCCACCCAAAGCUCAUGUUGAAUUGUAAUUUCCAAUAUUGGGGGAGGGACUGGUGGGAGGUGAUUGGAUCAUGGGGGUGGAUUUCUACUUUACUGUUUUUGUGUUAGUGAGUGAGUUCUCACAAGAUCUGGUGGUUUAAAGGUAUGUAGCACUUCCUCCUUCACUCUCUCUGUCCUGCCACCAUGUGAAGAUGUGUUUGCUUCUCCUUCAGCCUUACACCAUGAUUGUAAGUUUCCUGAGGCCUCCCCAGCCAUGCUCCUGUACAGCCUGUGGAAUUGUGACUCCAUUAAACCUAUUUUCUUCAUAAAUUACCCAGUCUCACGUAGUUCUUUAUAGCAGUGUGAGAAUGAACUAAUACAACAGCCAAUACAUCAGGUACAUUUCUGCUACCUGAUGAGCCAUUUGAACAUUUCAUAGAGGGAUUUCAUUCAAUUGCCAUUUUCAGUGCAUGUUUUCUGGUUGUGUAGAAGCUUUCCCAUGAAGGAAAGCUGAUGCCAUUAUAGUAACUGAAAGGUUAUUAGAAUGUGUAUUUCUCUCAUGGGGCAUUCCUGGAAAAAUCUCCAGUGAUAAAGGUACUUACUUUACUGGACAAGUUGUAAAACAGUUAAAUAAGAUACUAGAAAUACAAUGGCAUUAGACAAAGCCAACUAAGUUAAUUAGAUUGCCUUGGUUAAAGGUAUUGAAUAUUGAUGGAAUUCAGGUUCACUUCCACUGGAAAAAUAUAAGUUGAACAUAAGUUCCCUAAGUUUUGCUUUUUGCUCACACUCUUACCUAGGUGAGAACCUAACCAAAAGGGGGAAAUUAUUAAGCAAAAGUAUGAGAGGUGACUGCUUGUGCUGAGGUCUUGCACUUUGCUCCAACAGAUCAGACCAAAUCAAAAUGAAGUCACUCAUGCUAAAUGCCACAUAACAAAAUGGAAACUUUAAAGGAGCAGAUAAAUCCCAAAACAGAUCAGUGUUUUCAUCUCCCUGAAAACAAGAGAUUUUAAUCUGCCUGAGUCAACAGAGCAAGGAAGUACUACCUGCUUUAACCCUUCCAGAAGAGACUGAGGAGGCCUGAUGUUGAUGAAUCAGGUUUUCCCCCUUAUUGUUCUGUUUAUUUGUCCCCACUUUACAAAAUUCAUUGUUUUGCUAUUUCCCAAUGGGAUUUGAGACCAAAUAAAUCCAUUAUAAUGGUGACAGAGCGUGAGUGACAUCAGUGCCUGAACUUUUGGUCAACAUCUCAAAAUUGAGAAGUUGACCCAAAGGGCAGAAUUAUUAAAUUAAGUUCAGCCUAAAACUGCCCCUGUGUAUAUUUUAAGUUUGUCCUAAAGGUUUCUCCAUAUAGAGUAAACUGCAAUCUAACUUGUGUCAACGGACUGUAAUCCACUCUUGUAAAAAGUAGCUGAGUCUCAGCCAAUCACAGCAGUUGAGUUUCAGUCAAUUAUAGGCAGCCAACUGUAAAAAUCAAGUUGAAUUAAGGUGAACACUGAAUUCUAACCAAUCUAGAUGUCACUGUACCUCAUUUUCAUUUUCUGUAUAUCACUUACUUUUCUAUGGCUGAAAAUAUAAACUGCACAUGUGAUGGGGCAGAACAUUUUGAACCAUUUUGGUCCAGACUGCUGCCUGAUUCUAGAAUCACAAAUAAAAACCCUAAGAUCUAUAAAACCAGAUUUGUUGUAAUUUUAUCUUUUAACAAUUCUUAUGAAGUCCAUAUAGGACAAUUGUGUACUAAAAUCUGAUAGUAGAUAUGACUCUUACUGAGGCUCCUGUGUAAAUUCAAGGGAAGAACAGAAGGAGCACAUUGUAGGUGCUCAAAAAUUUUAAAAUAAAUG